AUAUGUAUAUAUAUAUAUAUAUAUAUAUAUAUUAAUAUUUUGGCAAUGCUAUGGUAAAAAAUCGUAACCGAUCAGUUGAUGUGACUAAAAAAGUAUUAUUCACGAUUUAAAUUGUAGCAAAACAAGAAAGUUAUUUGGCUGCAGGCAAUAGAUUCAAUAUAGAUAAAAGUAGAACACGGUAUAUUGAAAGAAAUUUCAGUAUUAACUGAUUUAAUAUCUAAUUAUAUUGUAUGGUUAGAUAUAAGCAAAUGCAACAUGUCAUUUAGUGUACUAUAAAUAAUACUUUAAUAUAGCACAGUAACAAGAGUAGAAACUUUUGUAUAGUAUAAAAAAUAAUGCUUUCCAUAAAUAAUAUCUUAUUAAAUAAUAUUUUAUUUUUUAGAUCUUCCAUACCAGCGCGUUCCUGUAGUAUUCCAGGUGUCAUAGAUACAAUUGACUAUCAUAUACAAUGUAAAGCACUAGCUUAUAAUGCCAAUGAUUUUUAUGUAAAGAUGAGUGUAUGUAGCUUCAGGAAUUUUUUAAUGAACAAAUGAAUUUUUUGGCUGUUGAAGCAAAACACAGUUUUUGGAGUGUGUAUUUAUUUUAAUCCGUUUAUUAAAAAACUAUAGCAUAAACGUUUUUGACCUUUCUAUUAGGUCCUUAUCAAAUGCAUGUUUACAAAGAAUUAAGAUAGAAUCCGAUAAAUGAAAUUUGAAAAUAAUUAAUUAAGAAUCGCAGAAUAAAACAAUAUACAAAGUCACUUACAAAAAUCUUAGCUAUUAUAUGUCGCUGAGUGCUGAUCUUGGAUGUCCAUGUCGCACAAGCCGUCCCGACCAACACUUUACAAAAGUGAAUACGCGACUGAGAAACAAACGUGUGUAUAAAGAUAGAAGUAAAAUCUACAAAUAACAUAACACUUUAUGAUGUCUUAUCGACAAACGGUAAAUAUGAAUUGUCUAAAUUUUCCGUGUCACACUGUAGAUUAAGUCCGCAGACUUGACUUCUUAUAUGUAGCAUUUCUGAUACCAAUCUUUUGCUGUAAGAUCUAUCAUAAUCAAAUAUUUCUACUCUGUCCCACUCAAAUUCAUUUUGUCUUACAUACGAAGCUUCACAUUCACGGCACUUGAUCUUGUAUACUAUCGAAGGAUGUGAGAGAAGGGGCAAAGGAUCCUUAAGAACUUCGAUAAAUUUAGCCAGUUUGUCGAGAUUGUAAUAAGCUAAACGCGUAUGUGAUUCUGAAGGAAGUAUUUUUGAAAAUCUCUCCGAAUAUUUAUUGAUUCUAAGAAUAAAAUUAUCAUAUAUGAAGUCCAUAGGAUAGUUAUUGUCAAUUAAUAAAUUAAAAAUAAAGUCUAACUUUUUGGAAUGGAAUCUAGGAUGUGAUAAAAAGAAGGCUCUGUCUACGAGGCUGAUGAUCGUGCCUCUUUUUUUUGGCAAAUAGGAUGGUUAGAAAAAUAGUUCAGCAUCAAAUUGCUUUUUAGGAACCAUGAGAGCUAUGUCAUCGACGUAUCUGACAUGUAAAGGUAGAUGGAAAGAGAGAGAUUCACAAAUGGAUGUUUCAAGAUCCUGCAUUACAAUGUCUGCAAGGAUCGGAGAGAGUGGAGAACCAAUAGGAGCACCAAAGAUAAUUGAGUAUUGAAAAAUUCUUUGUAGAGCUGAAACGGCAAGGUAUAUAUGAUAGAUUUAUUGAUUAUAUAUAUUUUGUUGAUAAUAAAUGAGCGGUAUCUAUAAAAGUCGAUGAUUUCAAGCCGUAGAAUGCUGCGCGCAAGUGUUGCUCGUUUGUUGUCAAAAACACAUCGUUGUUUGUAUUUAUAAAAGAUGACUCUUGGAAAGUCAACACGAACGAUAAUAUAAAUGUUGCAAUAUCCAAUGAUUUUUAUAAUAGGAAAGGAUUCUAUUCUAUUAUUUUGCAAAGUAUGUACACUCACUGUAAUAUAUAGUUAAAAAUAUUAUGUAUGUAUUUUUUGUGUUAGUUAAAUGUAAUAUCCUAUAAUACUUUGGAUUUAUAGGUGUGACUAUAUAAAACGCGUUUUAUUAACAAUUUAUUGGAUUACCAGGACGAAUGCAUAACGCUCGUUGUGUUUUUAGAUAGUACUUUAUAUAAACAAAUAACAAAUACAAAACAACCUGUAUUACCGCCACAACUACUCUAAUUGAAUUAAACUCUAAUUGAAGAUGUAUAUCCCUAUCAGUAUAUCCCCUAUUAGUUAACUUAAUGACACCGUUUCGAGAUGCGGGUCAUUUAAGUAAAGAGCAACUAUUGUAUAAUACAAAACUGUCUUGUAUACGUAGCAUAAUUGAAAAAACCUUUGGUUUCUUGAAAGGUAAGUUUCAGAGACUUCGUUAAUUAGACAGUAUUAAUUUCAAACUUAGUCAAAAAAUUGAUUGGCGCUGUAUGUGUUACACAAUUUUAUGAUUGACAAAGAAAAUCUCAAUAUUAAAGAAGACUAUUAUUAUUAAGAAUAUUAAAGAAGAGAUAUAGAAAAUGAAGUAUUAGUAAACAUUGCUGAGAAUAAAUAUCCAAAUGAUAGAAAUACUAUGGCAAUUACAGAACGGAAUAACAUAAUGUAUCAAUUAAGAGAAAAAAUAAAGUAUGUAUUUAAAAAUUCUGUAUUUAUUUUAAACGUAAACUAUAUAAACGGUAAUAAGAGCCGUAUGUACACUGGAUGUUGUUGCGGAAAUAUACAUAUAUAUAUAUA
Long non-coding RNA from Pseudomyrmex gracilis, 2675 nucleotides. RefSeq lists it as uncharacterized. Lineage: Eukaryota; Metazoa; Arthropoda; Insecta; Hymenoptera; Formicidae. The record is from RefSeq and is a predicted model, not a curated record. The transcript is spliced from 5 exons.